AUGUAAAUGCCUACAACAUAGUGUUGAUGCAAUGGAUCCCAUUAGAACUCCGCAGUUAAGCGUGCUUAGGAUAGAGUAGUACUGGGAUGGGUGACCACCUGGGAAGUCUUAUUGUUUUACAUG
Molecule: non-coding RNA, 123 nt
Organism: Picea glauca (white spruce)
Lineage: Eukaryota; Viridiplantae; Streptophyta; Pinopsida; Pinales; Pinaceae
Source: Rfam